Long non-coding RNA from Symphalangus syndactylus (siamang), 8832 nucleotides. RefSeq lists it as uncharacterized. NCBI's taxonomy places the organism in Eukaryota, Metazoa, Chordata, Mammalia, Primates, Hylobatidae. The record is from RefSeq and is a predicted model, not a curated record.
CGUUGCUUAUGGGGCUACGUGUCUGCUGGUGCUGUGCGGGGCUGUGUGGGGCCCGUGAGGCGCUGUGCUGCGGGCUGUGCGAAGGGCUGUGUGACGCUCUGUGCGGGGGGCUGUGCGGAGGCCUUGAGGGGCUGUGCGGGGUCCGUGAGGCUCUGUGUGGGGCGCCGUGUGGGAGACUCUGCGGGGGCCGUGAAGGGUCCGUGAGGCGCUGUGUGCGGGUUGUGAGGCGCUGUGCGGGGACCAUGAAGGGGCCGUGAGGCGCUGUGCGGGUGCCGUGGGGCGCUGUGUGGGAGGCUGUGCGGGGGCCGUGGGGCGCUGUGUGAGGCGCUGUGCGGGUGCCGUGGGACGGUGUGUGGGAGGCUGUGCGGGGCUGAGGGGAGGGCGGGUCGCGCUGUGCCCUCCUUGAAGCUCUCGGAUGGCCCCGCUGGGUAUGGGGGUGCACACAGGCCCGAGGUCAGGCGCUGGAGGAUGUAUCCCGGGAUCCACUCUUAACCUGGCAGCCAAAGGCACCCUGUCCCGCCGCCCACAGCCUUCUCCGCGCCAUAUGCUGGGCCAGGGUGUCCCCACGGGGCUCACACGAAAGACCCCGGGGUGGGGAAGCCCUGCAGCCCGGAGCUGGGUACAACCUGCAUUAAGGUGGGCGUCUCAAACACCCCCUCUUUUCUGAGGCCCUGCAGAAGCAAAGCCGUGGACUGGGUUGUGGCGCUUGUGUGUGCAUUGACUUCUCCUGUGAAACAUACAGGAAACGUUUAAGCGUGCCGUUCCCUGCCAUUCAUUCCAAUCAUGUGCCACGCCCCCACUAUUUCUAGAAUUUUCUCAUCCCAAACAGAAACUGUCCCCUUUAAACAAUAACUUCCCAUUUCCCCCUUCCCCUUUUAAAAUUUUGCUUUUAGUUUUUAAAUAGCUCAGAUUGGCCAGGCAUGGUGGCUCACACCUGUAAUCCCAGGACUUUGGGAGGCCCGAGGUGGGUGGAUCAGGAGGUCAGGAGUUUGAGACCAGCCUGGCCAACAUGGUGAAACCCGGUCUCUACUAAAAAUACAAUAAUUAGGUGGGCGUGGUGGUGCACGCCUGUAAUCCCAGCUACUGGGGAGGCUGAGGCAGGACAAUUGCUUGAACUCAGGAGGCGGAAGUUGCAGUGAGCCGAGAUCGUGCUGCUGUACUCCAGCCAGGGUGACAGAGCAAGAUUCCAUCUCAAAAAAAUAAAAAAAAAGCUCGGAUUUCAGAAAAUACGGGAGUAUGCAGUGCGAAGUGUCCACUCUGCCCGGCCACCUACUUCUAUUACCAGAACCAUCAUACUUAUAAAUUCUUUAUUUUUUUCUAGAAAUAGAAAAAAAUUCUGGUUUUUUCUCACUGUGUUGCUCAGGCUGGAGGGCAGUGGUAGGAUCAAAGCUCCAUGCAGCCUCGACCUCCUGUCUUAAGGGAUCCUCCCACCUGUUUCCUCAGUAGUUGGAACUACAGGUACACACCACCAUGCUCGGCUAAUUUUUUUCUUAAUUUUUUUGUAGAGAUGUUGGGGGGUCUUGCUAUGUUGCCCAGGCUGAUUUGAAGUCCUGGCCUCAGGGGACCCUUCCAUCUCAGUCUCCCAAAGUACUGGGAUUAGGUAUGAGCCUCUCCACCAGGCUUGUCAAUUCUUUGUGUAUUUUUUCGUUGACGUGUGUUGGAGAAGCACAUAGCGUGUUCUCCCACCUGGCUUUUUGUAUGUACGUGCUUCUUGGAGAUCAUCCCAAUUUAGUAAAAAGCGUCCUUGUUUGUUGUCUAAAUAUAUCUGGUCUGUCCUCAUGGACAGUUGGGUUGUUACUAUAAACAGUGCUUUUCUACGUUGUGCACAUGUAUUUCUGCAGGAGAAAUUCCUGGAAGUGGAAUUGCUGGGCCGAGUAGGAUGUGCCUGAGUACUUGUGAUAGCUGUUGGCAAGUCGCUCUUUGUGGAAGUCAAUUGAUUACUCAGGUCUCUCUGCGGAAGUCUGAGAGUGCUUGCACGCCUUCACCAGCACAGUGGGUCACCUGUCAGAGUGACAUGUGGUGUCUCACUGUUUUCAAUUUGCAUUUCAGAUGGUUGUUAUUUUUAAUUUCUCUUGCAAUCACAGCCACUUUUCCAUUUUAUGCAAAGCCACUAAAUCCUGUUGAAGAGCUGAUGUGGACUGUCUUGGCCUAUAGUCAGGGUGUAUUCCCUCAGCUAUUCAGAGAUAGUGGGGCUUCCAGUCACCUCCUUCCUUCUGCCACAGCUGUGAUGAAAAAGAAGACACAGGCUUGGUGCUUUGGGAGGCCAAGGAGGGCAGAUUGUUUAAGUCCAGGAGAAAAAAAAAUUUUAUUUUUGUUUAGAGACAGGGUCUCACUCUGCUGUCCAGGCUGGAGUGCAGUGGCACCAUCAGCUCACAGCAGCCUCAACCUCCUGGGCUCAGGUGAUCCUCCCACUUCAGCCUUCAGAGUAGCUGUGAUACAGGCGCGUGCCACCGCUUCUAAUUUUUAUUUUUUAUUUUGUAGAGAUGCAGGUCUUCCUGUGUUGCCCAGGCUGCUCUUUUUUUUUUUUGAGACAGAGUCUCGCUCUGUCGCCCGGGCUGGAGUGCAGUGGCGCAAUCUCGGCUCACUGCAAGCUCCGCCUCCCGGGUUCACGCCAUUCUCCUGCCUCAGCCUCCGAGUAGCUGGGACUACAGGCGCCCGCCACCGCGCCCGGCUAAUUUUUUGUAUUUUUUAAUAGAGACGGGGUUUCACCGUGGUCUCGAUCUCCUGACCUCGUGAUCCGACCGCCUCGGCCUCCCAAAGUGCUGGGAUUACAAGCGUGAGCCACCGCGCCCGGCCUUUUUUUUUUUUUUUUUUUUGAGACAGAGUCUUGGUGUGUCACCCAGGCUGGAGUGCAGUGGGGCAAUCAUAGCUCACUGCAACUUCUGCCUCCUGGUUUCAAGUGAUUCUCUUGCCUCAGCCUCCCAAGUAGCUGGGAUUACAAGCGUGCACCAGCAGGCCCGGCAAAUUUUUGUAUUUUUAGUAGAGACGGGGUUUCGCCAUGUUUGGCCAGGCUGGUCUCAAACUCUUGGCCUCAAGUGAUACGCCUGCCUCGGCCUCCCAAAGCACUGGGAUUACAGGCAUGAGCCACCACGCCUGGCGUUUUUAUUUUUAUUUUUUUUAUUUUUUGAGACAGAGUCUCGCUCUGUCACCCAGGCUGGAGUGCAGUGGCGCCAUCUCGGCUUACUGCAACCUCCGCCUCCCGGGUUCACGCCAUUCUCCUGCCUCAGCCUCCCGAGUAGCUGGGACUACAGGCGCCCACCACCAUGACUGGCUACUUUUUUUUGUUAUUUUUAGUAGAGACGGGGUUUCACUGUGUUAGCCGGGAUGGUCUCGAUCUCCUGACCUUGUGAUCCGCCCGCCUCGGCUUUCCAAAGUGCUGCAAUUACAGGCGUGAGCCACCGCGCCUGGCCCUAUUUUUUUAAGUUUUAGAUAACCUCUAUUGAUUAUGACUAAAUAGAAAUAAGGACUUCUCUUCCAUCUCCCAGUCGCAUACCUUCUUAUCCUAUCCGUCCAUCAGCAUUCCUUAUUUUCCUUAUUACAAUUAUCUGAGUCAUACUCGCAGUUGAGCCGUGUAGCAAUGGGUGCCGACUGUGCUUGUGGGCAGACUCCCUUACUGAGUGGAGAACUGGGAUGAACGACCUCUCUGAAAGAUGUCAGACAUCGAUCCCCAGACUGACGCCUGUAGCCCAGGCUCUCCUCAACCUCAGCCUGUACGUGUUUCCAAAAUAGGCCAGGCUGGCUGGGCACGGUGGCUCACGCUUGUAAUCCCAGCACUUUGGGAGGCCGAGAUGGGCGGAUCACGAGGUCAGGAGAUCGAGACCACGGUGAAACCCCGUCUCUACUAAAAAUACAAAAAAUUAGCCGGGCGUGGUGGCGGGCGCCUGUAGUGCUAGCUACUCGGAGAGGCUGAGGCAGGAGAAUGGCGUGAACCUGGGAGCGGAGCUUGCAGUGAGCCGAGAUCGCGCCACUGCACUCCAGCCUGGGUGACAGAGCGAGACUCCAUCUCAAAAAAAAAAAAAAAAGAAAAUAGGCCAGGCAUGGUGGUUCAUGCCUGUAAGCCCAGCAGCACUUUGAGAUUUGGGAGGACUGCUUGAGGCCAGGAGUUCAAGACCAGUCUGGGCAACAUAGUGAGACUCUACCAUCUCUACAAAAAAAUUUUUUUUUUUUUUUUUUUCUCUUAAGACAGAGUCUUGUUCCAUUGCCCGGGCUGGAGUGCAGUGGCACAGUCUCAGCUGACUACAACCUCCGCCUCCCAGGCUCAAGUGAUUCUCCUGCCUCAGCCUCCCAAGUAGUAUCACCACACCCGGCUAAUUUUUUUGUAUUUUUAGUAGAGACGGGGUUUCACCGUGUUAGCCAGGAUGGUCAUGGUCUCCAUCUCGUGACCUCGUGAUCCACCCGCCUCUGCCUCCCAAAGUGCUGGGAUUACAGACGUGAGCCACCGCGUCCAGCCUACAAAAAAUUUUUUUAAAAAUUAGCUGGCCGUAGUGGUGCACACCUGUACUCCCAGCUACUAGGGAGGCUAAAGCAGGAUGAUCACUUGAGCCCAGGAGUUCAAAGCUUCAGUGAGCUCUGAUCACACCACUGCACUUCAGCCACAGGCAUGGGUGCUCUGCUAAGUAUAGUAUGGGUAGGCUGUGUGUGGCCCUGAUUCAUGAGGGGAGAGGGUCUGGGAGAUGAAUGGGAAGCCAGGCAGCUGGAGCCCGUAGGGUAAGGAGGGGAAGCCCAGCCAGGGCUGAGCAUGUCCUGCCUGGCUCCAGGCCUGCAGCCCUGGGGGUUUGGCUUGGACAGGCCAGCAGAGGGGCCCCGAGCACAGCCUGCACAGCAUCCUGCUGCUGAUCCCCGGGGCUUCCUGCUUCCAGGCGCUUCCUGUCCUUUCCCCAAGCCCAGGCGUCUGGGACUUUAAAAAGUCAGAAAGCGACUGGAAAGGAAGGCAUGUGUCUAGCUUGCUCUAUAUCUGCCUUGCAUUGGGAGGCCUUCAGUGGGAAUGUUUUUCUGGAAGCAGUCAGCAAAUGUGAAACACCAUCAAGCCAGGCGAUUGGAGAGCUAAAAAGAAGCGAGGACUCAGGGAAUAUGGGCAUUUUAAAAAUAAAAAUUUAAAUUUAAAAAAGACAAGGAAAUGUUUAUUCCAGAGGGGUUGACAAUUCGAUACUUUUUUUUAACUUUUAGGUUUGGGGGUACAUUUGAAGGUUUGCUACAUAAAUAAACACAAAUCAUGGGGGUUUGUUGUAAAGAUUAUUUCAUCACGCAGAUACUAAGCCCAGUACCCAAUAGUUAUCUUUUCUGCUCCUCUCCUUCCUCCUGCCCUCCCCGCUCAAGUGGACCCCCGUGUCUGUUGUUUCCUUGUGUUCAUAAGUUCUUAUCAUUUAGCUCCCACUUACAAGUGAGAAGAUGCAGUAUUUGAUUUUCUAUUCCUGCAUUCGAUACUUACUUUUUAUUUUUCAUUUAUUUAUUUUGAGACAGGGUCUCACUCUUUUGCCCAGACUGGAAUGCACUGGCAAGAUCACGGCUCACUGCAAACUUGACCUCCUAUGCUCAAGCAAUUCUCCUGCAUUGGCCUCCUAAAGUACUGAGAUUACAGACUUAGCCACCACACCCUACCAAUUUUUUACUUUUUUGUGUUUUGUACAAACAGGGUCUUGCUGUGUUGCCCAGGCUUGUCUUAAACUCCUGGGCUCAAGCGAUCCUCCCACCUCGGCCUCCCAAAGUGCUGGGAUUACAGGCAUGAGCCACCACACCUAGUCUUCUCCUCUAAACAAGAGUCAGUAGAGAAACCUGGCUUCCCCACAGGACUGCUUGAGUCCAGAUCGUAAUCCACUGUCUUCCUGCAGCUCCUCCCACCAUAUCACCCCACACACUGGCCCCAAUAUAAAAAGCAGCACCAUAUUUGCUGUCCUGAUCAGAUGCCCUACUCUGACUUCAAAGUCAAAGGGGCCGGUCACUGUGGCUCACGCCUGUAAUCUCAGCACUUUGGGAGGCCAAGGCAGGCGGAUCACUUGAGGUCAGGAGUUCGAGACCAGCCUGGCCAACAUGGCAAAACCCCCUCUCUCCUAAAAAUACAAAAAUUAGCUGGGUGUGGUGGUGUGCGCCUGUAGUCCCAGUUACCGGGCGGCUGAGGCAGGAGAAUUGCUGGAACCUGGGAGGUGGAGGUUGUAGUGAGCUGAGAUCAUGCCAUUGCUCUUCAGCUGGGGUGCGGUGCCGGGGGGCACACCCUGUCCACGGCACCACAGAAAUGAUGCUCGCUGGAUGGAUGGCAACAGGACCAGGACCCGCUGGCUAGGCUUUGUCUCCAUCUCAGCCCCUCUUUUGGCCAAUGCAAAACAGUUGAGUUUCACAGGGGCCUUGUGCGGAUGAGAAGUGCCCUGUGAUCUCACUGCCCACCUCCUCUCACCUCUCAGCUUCAUUUCUGAAGUUUCCUGGGCCUCCCCGCUGCCUGUUCCCAGGGGAAGGGAAAAGCAGCUGGUAUUUGGGGCUGGAUAAGCAAUACUGCAGUGAUCUGCGUCUUCCUACGGAUGUAUCACAGGCUCACCGUCAGUGAGAGAACAAGCACAGAGGAUGGGAGGGGAGGGAGAAGCAGGGGAGCUGCUGAAGAGAAGGGGCCUGCUUUAAGAUUCCCAGAUUUGGCCUUGAGGUGGGGGUUUCUGGGAAGGAGCUGGGGGAGGCAGUGCUGAUUGACAUCCUGUGGGGAGGUGGUCCUGCAUUUCCUUGGGAUUCCCAGAGAUGGCGCAUGACCCCUGGCAAGAUGGGAGGUGUCUAUCUACCCUGUUAGGCUGGGCCCUGGGUCUGAAACUCUGCCACCUUUGCCCAUUCGCGUGAUACAGCUCUACCCAACCCUGGGGCAGGUACUGAGCAGCUCACAGGCAGUGCUGUGGGCCGGGCCAGGGGUGGCUGUGAAGACAGACUCGCUGCAGCCAGAACCUGGCGUCCAGAAAUAGAGAUCCUAAGAGGGGUCAAAGCUGAGAAAACCAAGGCUUUGUGACUAACUCAAGCCCUCAAGAAGGACAAAACUAGCAUCAGAGCACCUUGCUCCUGGGUCUGGCAAGAAUGCCUCUUGUUUGCUGAGAGGUCCACAGAUUUAUCCAGCUCAAGACUGGGAGAUGGGAGGUGACCAGGUCAGCGCCAGCCUCUCUCUGAGCUCCUCUGAGUUGUGGCAGCUGAGGCACUCUUCUGGGAAUGUUCUACCAUCCACGAGGUCGUGUACGCCUGGAAGCUUUUGUUCCAUUGAACUCUGCCAGGGAGCUAUACUUAGCCACGCGAGUGGAGGCCAGGAGUGGGUUCUCUGAAUAUAGAUAGUAGCAAGCAGGCUAUUUUCAAACACCUAGAGAACCCCUUUGAUUAUUCUGGGCCGAAAUGAUAUUUAUAGGAUGCUCUGGGCUCUUGGACACGAAGGCAAUAACCUUCGCGCCUUUUGGCGUUCGGGGAUAAGUUUCUUUCAACGGGGAGUGGAGAGAGGGACCCGGUCACCCAGAGGCCCGCUGUUUCUAGGAGGCCAGGCGUCCUCUUUGCUUUUACACUAUGAGUCAGAGAACAGCGAGAGGCACGCAGGGCCCCACUAAUUUUCCUUCCUGCACACCCUGGUGUGGGUCCUGUCUGACGCCUGCCGUGUGCUAUCAGGGGAGAGGUCAUCAGGGGACUUUUCCUGCUGUGAGGAGGGUGCAGCCCCCGCCUUUCAGAGCUCGGGACACCCUCUUCCUCUUGUCCAGGAUCCUCAGGGAUUUCCUAGGCUUCCACCCUCACCCAGACGUCACUGAGCCGUCACUGAAACACCCGCUUCCAGUGUGCUCAGGUCCUGCAGCCUCCUGUCCAUCCUUGCCCCGCCUCCCACCAGGAAGAAAGACUCUGACAGUGCCCCUGGAAGAGGGAGGAGAGUGGAUGUGAUGAGUGAAGAUUUGGGUGGGGAAAGGAAGGCCUGAGUCCUGGGGGGGAAGAGCUCCCUCGGCCCUGAGCCCCCGGAGACUGUGAGCAAGGCUGAGACGCCCCCUUCCUGGUCCUCAAGCUGCAGGUAUUGGAUAGGGCUCCAGAAGCCCAGAUUGUAAGUAACCAGGUUAACCUGGGCAUGGUCAGGCAGAACAAGGAGGAGAGGCCAGCAGUGAAGGGCGGGGCUGGUGGGCAGUGGCUGGGGGUGUCCUGGGUGGGGCUAGCCGCCCUCGCUGCCUCUGACUUGGGCCAGACCUGCCCUAAGUGGAGUGGCUCCUCCAUUCUUUACACCCCAGGCCCCUGGCAGGUGCCCUGCCUUUCCUCUGCCCCUCUCUGCCAACCCGUCCUCUCCCUCCCAGCCCCUGCCCGCCCAGAUAUAAAUAUAAGAGCAUUUUCCAUGGGCUGAGACAGAAGGGAAAACAUUCAGCUUUAUUUUCGGCUUGUGAAAUUCCUGUCCUUCAUUCCCAACAGGUGCAAUAGCCUCAUUUAGAUAUUGGGACCCAGAAAUAGAACACAACUUACAAUAAAGCUUCCUUUAGGGAUCUGGAUGCUACAAAAAAAAAAAAAAAAAAAGCCCUCCUGUGAGAUGCCGAGACUUAACAGAAACUGUGGUUGGAGCUCUUGGCUUUCUCCAGGCGAUUGGAGACCCUCACCCCUGGCAGCCUGACUGUGAAGCAGAGGAGGCAAGAGCUCUGGGAGAUAGUCGGGAGGGAGGGGGCCCUGGAGGAUAGGCUCCUAGCCCUACUCCUCCUCAAGACCCGGGUGCUGGCCUGUCCCCUGCCUUUGCCCCAGUGGGGAUGAGGGAGAGGAGAUGGGUCAGGGAACAGCCAUGGCCACUGGGGAAGGUGACUUGGAUGCAACCUUUGAAAGAGAUGCUUCCAGUAAACCCCAUUGGUUAAGAUCAGCUGUCCCCCAUGA